GACGAACGCUGGCGGCGUGCUUAACACAUGCAAGUCGAACGGUAAGGCCCUUCGGGGUACACGAGUGGCGAACGGGUGAGUAACACGUGGGUGAUCUGCCCUGCACUUCGGGAUAAGCCUGGGAAACUGGGUCUAAUACCGGAUAGGACCACUGCCUGCAUGGGUGGUGGUGGAAAGCUUUUGCGGUGUGGGAUGGGCCCGCGUCCUAUCAGCUUGUUGGUGGGGUGAUGGCCUACCAAGGAGACGACGGGUAGCCGGCCUUGGAGGGUGACCGGCCGCAGUGCGAUUGGGGUACCGCCCAGACUGCAACGGGAGGAAGCAAUGGAGAAUAUUGCGCAAUGGGCGAAAGCCUGGUGCAGCGACAGCGCGUCAGGGAUGACGGCCGUCUGGUUGUAAACCUCUUACAGCACCGACGAAGCGCAAGUGGCGGUAGGUGUAGAAGAAGGACCGGCCAACUACGAGCCAGCAGCCGCAGUAA
This 478-nucleotide ribosomal RNA is filed under the name uncultured bacterium. RNAcentral's name for it is "partial 16S ribosomal RNA". It matches the Rfam family "Bacterial small subunit ribosomal RNA", at positions 28 to 523 of the family's 1533-position model. The record is from RNAcentral.